AAAAGACUUAGUCCUAACCUUACUGUUGGUUGUUGCUAGAGUUAUACAUGCAAGUAUCCGCGCUCCAGUGAAAAAGCCCUGGACACCUUCCAAGAAGUAGAUAGGAGCGGGCAUCAGGCACACCUUCAACUGUAGCCCAAGACGCCUUGCACUUGCCACGCCCCCACGGGCCCGCAGCAGUAGUAAACAUUAAGCAAUGAGUGUAAACUUGACUUAGUCAUAGCAAAUUAGGGUUGGUAAAUCCUGUGCCAGCCACCGCGGUCAGACAGGAAACCCGAAUUAACUUUAUAACGGCGUAAAGCGUGGUCACAUGCUAUCCGACUAGCUAAGAUUAAAAAGCAGCUGAGCCGUAACAAGCUAAAGAUGCCCAUAAGGCCUCCCUCUGUAAAGAAGAUCUUAGUACAACGAUUAAUUGAACUCCACGAAAGCCAGGGCCCAAACUGGGAUUAGAUACCCCACUAUGCCUGGCCCUAAAUCUUGAUGCUUCACCCCCUACUUAAGCAUCCGCCCGAGAACUACGAGCACUAACGCUUAAAACUCUAAGGACUUGGCGGUGCCCCAAACCCACCUAGAGGAGCCUGUUCUGUAAUCGAUGAUCCACGAUAUACCCUACCAUUUCUUGCCAAUUCAGCCUAUAUACCGCCGUCGCCAGUCCACCCCCCCUGAAGGUUCAACAGUGGGCGCAAUAGCCUAACCACGCUAAUAAGACAGGUCAAGGUAUAGCCUAUGGAAUGGAAGCAAUGGGCUACAUUUUCUAGAUUAGAACAUACGGCAAAGGGGAAUGAAACAUCCCCUGGAAGGCGGAUUUAGCAGUAAAGUGAGACAAUCGAGCUCUCUUUAAGCCGGCCCUGGGGCACGUACAUACCGCCCGUCACCCUCCUCGCAGGCGACCAAACUCUCUAUACACUAAUAAGCUAAUCAGCUGAAGAGGAGGUAAGUCGUAACAAGGUAAGUGUACCGGAAGGUGCACUUAGACUACC
This 980-nucleotide non-coding RNA is filed under the name Callaeas cinereus (South Island kokako). RNAcentral's name for it is "12S ribosomal RNA". It matches the Rfam family "Bacterial small subunit ribosomal RNA". Lineage: Eukaryota; Metazoa; Chordata; Aves; Passeriformes; Callaeidae. The record is from RNAcentral.